GCCGGCGAAAUUAACUGUCGCGAAGUAGCACGUGUUCUCGGCUGCGCGACAGAGCGCCGCCUUUUCAUGAAACGUAUUGCGGGGAUCCGCAAAAAGCGAGGGGCGAUAAGAACCCGGGUCCGCUUCAUGAAACUGCGGGUGAAAUACGACUUGUGCGCCACGUUGCGCCGCCCAGCGAACGGUUUCCGGAUAGCGCCAUCCUUCGUGGCAGAUGACGACCCCGAAAGUGAGUUCGCCGGCCUGGAACACACGACGACCAUGUCCCGGCGCGUACGUGCCCUCCUCGCUCGGGUCGAUCUGCACUUUGUCCUGGAAGCCCGCGUGGGUUCCGUCAUCGUUGAUGACCAGGACUGUCGCCAAAAGCGUUCAAUUCACCAGACGCUCGGUGCCCAGCACGACCGUUAUGCGCGCAUUGGCCGCGGCCUCGGCGACGUCGGCCCAGGCGCGAUCGAGAAAGAGUGCGUCCGGGGGCGGUACCGAUUUGUCCUGUCCGCGAUAGCCGGGCACAAAGCACUCCGGAAAACAGAUGAUGCGCGCACGCGCGUCUGCAGCGCGAUCGAUGGCUUCGCGCGCCAGCGUGACUGAUUCGCCUGGAUUGGCAGGAAACCGCAGAUUGGCGAGCGCUAUACGAAACGGACUCACGUUCGUGACUUCUGCAGUGAGUUCCUGACCCAGGCGCUGCGCGCGGCGAGUGCGAUCGGCACGCCGAACAAAAGCAUAUGGGAAAGCAGGUCCAACGUCGUUGCCAACGGUUUGAAUGUGACCGGGUACGGAAACGCGGACAGCGGCAGCACGACGAGCCGCAUCGCGCAAAAAACGACCACGCCAAAAAGUAUUCCAGACAGUAGCGGCGUGCGCAGUAGACCAGGAAAGCGCGCUGCCGCGACCGUGAACACGGCGGCCCAACCGAACGACAUACCGAAGUGAAGCGCGAGGCCCAACGCGGCGGCCGGGAUUCCGCCGGCGAAUGCCGCGUUGCCUUGCACCCCGCUGGCCACGGUCUGCAGCAGGCGAACCGGCGCCAUGCCCCGGUGGUAAGCGAACGAGAUCGCAAAGAGGAUGUCCAGCGUGCCGGCAAUGAAACCGCCAACCAGCACUGCCCAUACCGCCGACCGAGGCUUCAUCGCGCCACUCGCAUGCUAAUCGGGCGAUGCAGGCGCCGCAGCCUCACGCCAGGCGCGCCACUGGGCCUGCCGUGCCGCACGAGCGGUGGACAAAUGCCGCGCGACUCGACCCGUGGCACUUGCCGACCAUUCUUGCGCACCAGGCUUGCGCGACGCAUCGGCGAGCGUUGGAACAAGUGUCACGACGGAAUCCGCGUUCAGUCGAUCUGCAAACACGUCGGUGCGAUUCGACGUGUCACCAUUGUUAGUGCGGGAGUCAGCGUGACAAAAGUGGUCCCGUCGCCACUCAAGCCGUGGUAAUCGCCGACGAACAAGCCGUUGGCAUUCGGUGCGUCCAGCAGGU
This 1467-nucleotide unclassified non-coding RNA is filed under the name uncultured fungus. RNAcentral describes it as "sequence contains 18S rRNA gene, ITS1, 5.8S rRNA gene, ITS2, 28S rRNA gene". The record is from RNAcentral. Lineage: Eukaryota; Fungi.